GACGAACGCUGGCGGCGUGCUUAACACAUGCAAGUCGAACGGAAAGGCCCUGCUUUUGUGGGGUGCUCGAGUGGCGAACGGGUGAGUAACACGUGAGUAACCUGCCCUUGACUUUGGGAUAACUUCAGGAAACUGGGGCUAAUACCGGAUAGGAGCUCCUGCUGCAUGGUGGGGGUUGGAAAGUUUCGGCGGUUGGGGAUGGAUUCGCGGCUUAUCAGCUUGUUGGUGGGGUAGUGGCUUACCAAGGCUUUGACGGGUAGCCGGCCUGAGAGGGUGACCGGCCACAAUGGGACUGAGAUACGGCCCAGACUCCUACGGGAGGCAGCAGUGGGGAAUAUUGCACAAUGGGCGGAAGCCUGAUGCAGCAACGCCGCGUGCGGGAUGACGGCCUUCGGGUUGUAAACCGCUUUCGCCUGUGACGAAGCGUGAGUGACGGUAAUGGGUAAAGAAGCACCGGCUAACUACGUG
This 468-nucleotide ribosomal RNA is filed under the name uncultured bacterium. RNAcentral's name for it is "partial 16S ribosomal RNA". It matches the Rfam family "Bacterial small subunit ribosomal RNA", at positions 28 to 507 of the family's 1533-position model. The record is from RNAcentral.